This 626-nucleotide ribosomal RNA is filed under the name Buckleyzyma aurantiaca. RNAcentral describes it as "LSU rRNA". It matches the Rfam family "Eukaryotic large subunit ribosomal RNA", at positions 46 to 659 of the family's 3401-position model. The record is from RNAcentral. Lineage: Eukaryota; Fungi; Basidiomycota; Cystobasidiomycetes; Buckleyzymales; Buckleyzymaceae.
AUCAGCGGAGGAAAAGAAACUAACAAGGAUUCCCCUAGUAACGGCGAGUGAAGUGGGAAAAGCUCAACUUUGUAAUCUGGCAGCUUCGCUGUCCGAGUUGUAGUCUCGAGAAAUGUUUUCCGCGCUGGCAUGUGUAUGAGUCUGUUGGAAUACAGCGUCAUAGAGGGUGAGAACCCCGUUCAUGACACAUCUCCCAGUGCUUUGUGAUACAUUUUCGAUGAGUCGAGUUGUUUGGGAAUGCAGCUCAAAAUGGGUGGUAAAUUCCAUCUAAAGCUAAAUAUUGGCGAGAGACCGAUAGCAAACAAGUACCGUGAGGGAAAGAUGAAAAGCACUUUGGAAAGAGAGUUAAAAGUACGUGAAAUUGUUGAAAGGGAAACGCUUGAAGUCAGACGUGCGCAGUGCGAUUCAGCUCUAUUUCGGUAGAGUGUAUUUCGUGCUAUUGCAGGCCAGCAUCGGUUUUGCGAGCCGGAUAAAGGUUAGUAGAAGGUAGCAUCUUCGGAUGUGUUAUAGCUUCUAACUGAAUACGGAUUGCGAGACCGAGGGACGCAGCACGGCGCAAGCCAGAAGAUUCGUCUUCUUCGUGCUUAGGAUGCUAGUGAARUGGCUUUAAACGACCCGUCUUGAAA